This 1437-nucleotide ribosomal RNA is filed under the name Ceratomyxa falcatus. RNAcentral describes it as "bacterial SSU rRNA". It matches the Rfam family "Eukaryotic small subunit ribosomal RNA", at positions 381 to 1713 of the family's 1831-position model. Lineage: Eukaryota; Metazoa; Cnidaria; Myxozoa; Bivalvulida; Ceratomyxidae. The record is from RNAcentral.
UUCCGGAGAGGGAGCCUGAGAAACGGCUACCACAUCCAAGGAAGGCAGCAGGCGCGCAAAUUACCCAAUCCAGACAUUGGGAGGUAGUGACGAGAAAUACUGGGGAUGUUCUAUCAGAAUGUCACCCGGGAUGAACGUAGCAUAAAACAUUCGAUGAGGAUAUCUACUGAGGGGCAAGUCUGGUGCCAGCAGCCGCGGUAAUUCCAGCUCCAGUAGUGUAUAUCAACAUUGUUGCGUUUAAAACGCUCGUAGUUGGAUUACAGGGUGUCGAAUGGCCCGCGCUAAAUAGCCGGGUCAGUUUAGCGAAUAUUGUGUGUGCGAUUCGGCUGGAAACAGUUGGUCGGCAUUUUUGUUUGCUGAAUGACGCCUUUUUCGCACCGGCCCUGGCACUUACUUUGUUGAAAGUGUCGGAGGAGCAGGUGGAGUGUGCCUUGAAUAAAGCAUAGUGCUCAAAGCAGGCGUACGCUCGUGUGUAAUAGCAUGGAACAGAUAGCCGGCCUAAAGGGUGGUUGAGUUGUGAAAGCAGCGGCAGCCACCUUGUCUCGCUUUGUUGGUUGUGAGACGGGUCUCGUUGGUUAAAAGGGACAUUUGAGGGCAUUGGUACUUUGUGGCGAGAGGUGAAAUUCUUAGACCCACAAAAGACCGACUGGUGCGAAAGCGUUUGUCAAGAAUGUUUUCAUUAAUCAAGAACGAAGGUCAGAGGUUCGAAGACGAUCAGAUACCGUCCUAGUUUUGACAGCAAACGAUGCUAGCACAGCAUCAGCCCGUCCGCCCUUGGUUGGGACGAGAUAGGUUGGUGCUGCCGGGAAACCUCAAGCUUUCGAGUUACGGGGAGAGUAUAGCUUCAAGGCGGGAAUUUAAAGAAAUUGACGGAGAGGCACCACCAGGAGUGGAGCCUGCGGCUUAAUUUGACUCAACACGGGGAAACUCACCAGGUCCAGACAUUGGCAGGAUUGACAGGCUGGUAGACCUUUCAUGAUUCGAUGGAUGGUGGUGCAUGGCCGUUCUUAGUUGGUGGAGUGAUCUGUCAGGUCUAUUCCGGUAACGAGCGAGACCGCGGUCAGUAGUUUCAGUCGUGCUCAGUUAAGCGCGUUGUGUUAUUAUUUAAUUAUAGUGGUGCAGCGUGUUGGGUGCUGACUGACUACUGGGACAACUGGACUCUAAGCCAGGGGAAGCGCGGCAAUAACAGGUCUGUGAUGCCCUUCGAUGUCCUGGGCUGCACGCGCGCUACAAUGGCAGCAGAAGAGGGUAGCUGAUUAGAGAUGAUUGGCUAAACUGUGAAUAGCUGUCGUGAUGGGGAUUGUGCCUUGGAAUUAUUGCACAUGAAAGAGGAAUUCCUCGUAAGCACUGGUCAUCAGCCAGUGUUGAAUACGUCUCUGCCUCUUGUACACACCGCCCGUCGCUACUACCGAUUGAAUAUCAUUUAGAGCUGGCUGG